UCCAGAGGUCCCAAGCGUUGUUCGGAUUCACUGGGCGUAAAGGGUGCGUAGGUGGUGAGGUAAGUCGGAUGUGAAAGCUCCGAGCUCAACUCGGAAAUGGCAUUGGAAACUACCUUGCUCGAGGGUUUGAGGGGGGACUGGAAUACUUGGUGUAGCAGUGAAAUGCGUAGAUAUCAAGUAGAACACCAGUGGCGAAGGCGAGUCCCUGGAAAACUCCUGACAUUGAGGCACGAAAGCUAGGGGAGCAAACAGG
RNAcentral lists this ribosomal RNA (253 nucleotides) under uncultured bacterium. RNAcentral's name for it is "partial 16S ribosomal RNA". It matches the Rfam family "Bacterial small subunit ribosomal RNA", at positions 524 to 776 of the family's 1533-position model. The record is from RNAcentral.